AUGAGGUUCCCUGCUCAGCUCCUGGGGCUCCUCCUGCUCUGGGUCCCAGGAUCCAGUGGGGCCAUCGUGUUGACCCAGUCUCCACUCUCCCUGUCAGUCAGCCCUGGAGAGCCUGCCUCUAUCUCCUGCAGGUCCAGUCAGAGCCUCCUACACAGUGAUGGAGCCUCUCUAUUGUAUUGGUACCAGCAGAAACCAGGCCAGUCUCCAAGGCUCCUGAUCUAUUAUGCUACCAACAGGGCCACUGGGGUCCCGGACAGGUUCACUGGCAGUGGAUCAGGGACAGAUUUCACCCUCAAAAUCAGCAGGGUGGAGGCUGAGGAUGUGGGAGUUUAUUACUGCCAGCAAAUUAUACACUCUCCUCCCACAGUGAUACAGCCCUUAGCAAAAACCCCUCUUCUGUGGGCCCAGCUGCACACAUGUGUGAGUUGUCUGGGGAGCAGAGGGGCAGAAGCUCUGAGUCUGUGUAAGAGGCAGAAGAGAGAGAACCAGCAGCAGAGGGUGCAGCUGAGGCCUGUGGACCAGCAGAGCCUCAGCUCCUCCUCAGACCCCACAUGUUAAGGCCCCAUAAGCUCAUGGCCUUGGUGUGAUGUCCCCUUAGAAACAGGCCAGUGAGAGAAGUUCACUUCUGGGACAACCACAGCUCAGCUGAGUUCCCUUUUUACAGAUCAGAAUUUCUGCCUGGACCAAGUGAGAACUUAAUCAGAUGCAACUUUGGAAAUAAUAAAGAAUAGCUUGGGGGGUGGGGGGAUG
This is a non-coding RNA of Sus scrofa (pig), 750 nucleotides long. The record is from the annotation of a RefSeq genome assembly. Lineage: Eukaryota; Metazoa; Chordata; Mammalia; Artiodactyla; Suidae.